This 656-nucleotide ribosomal RNA is filed under the name uncultured bacterium. RNAcentral describes it as "bacterial SSU rRNA". It matches the Rfam family "Bacterial small subunit ribosomal RNA", at positions 730 to 1386 of the family's 1533-position model. The record is from RNAcentral.
UGGUCUGUCACUGACGNUGAGGCUCGAAAGCGUGGGUAGCGAACAGGAUUAGAUACCCUGGUAGUCCACGCCGUAAACGAUGAGUGCUAGGUGUUAGGCCCUUUCCGGGGCUUAGUGCCGGAGCUAACGCAAUAAGCACUCCGCCUGGGGAGUACGACCGCAAGGUUGAAACUCAAAGGAAUUGACGGGGGCCCGCACAAGCGGUGGAGCAUGUGGUUUAAUUCGAAGCAACGCGAAGAACCUUACCAGGUCUUGACAUCCCGAUGCUAUUCUUAGAGAUAGGAAGUUACUUCGGUACAUCGGAGACAGGUGGUGCAUGGUUGUCGUCAGCUCGUGUCGUGAGAUGUUGGGUUAAGUCCCGCAACGAGCGCAACCCUUAUUGUUAGUUGCCAUCAUUAAGUUGGGCACUCUAGCGAGACUGCCGGUAAUAAACCGGAGGAAGGUGGGGAUGACGUCAAAUCAUCAUGCCCCUUAUGACCUGGGCUACACACGUGCUACAAUGGUCGGUACAACGAGUUGCGAGCCGGUGACGGCAAGCUAAUCUCUGAAAGCCGAUCUCAGUUCGGAUUGGAGGCUGCAACUCGCCUCCAUGAAGUCGGAAUCGCUAGUAAUCGCGGAUCAGCACGCCGCGGUGAAUACGUUCCCGGGCCUUGUAC